This 95-nucleotide small RNA is filed under the name Bombyx mori (domestic silkworm). RNAcentral's name for it is "Bm_158". The record is from RNAcentral. Lineage: Eukaryota; Metazoa; Arthropoda; Insecta; Lepidoptera; Bombycidae.
AGUACCAACCCGGGUUAUUAAUUAAUGAUUCCCCUUUUUUGGGACAAGUGACCCUCCAUUUUGAAUCUACAGCUUGGGUGGUUAAGUCGCUCUUU